GCUUUGACCUCGGCGCCGCUUCGAGCCGUCGCCGACGGGGGCGCGACGGCGCGCCGAGGGCGAGGAGGAUUCGCCGGCGCCAGCGGGGUCUCAGCAGACGCUCCAGUCGGCGUCUUGCUAUGCGCCGAGCAUCGUUGUUGGACGACAGCGUCUACCGUGUGGGGGCGCAUCUUGCCGUCGCAGCAGCAGCAGCAGUAGUCAUGGCCGCACAGCAGAAGCAGCGUGUCUCGUCGGCGUGCUGUGGUCGUGUUUAGCGGUGUGACCCGGCGGCAGCAGUGUGCAGCAGUGGCGACCGUGUGCAUGUGGCGCGGUGCUCGCGGGCGGCCGUCGAGCCCCAGAGCCGCCGCCAUGGGGGCCGGCGGGGCCGCACUGGGGCGGCGGCGACAGCAGCGGUGAGCAGCGCGUCCCGCUCGGCGGCCUGUAUGCCACGGCGAGCUGGGACGUCUCGGCGCUAUGGUGUGCGUUCAUGUUCGCCAGUAAGCGGUGCAAAUUGGUGAAACGCCUGUGGGAAGAAAGCCGCAACCUGGUGGUAUCGUACUACGCGUCGUCGCAGCCGCCGCCGCUGUGCGCGGCGGCAUCGCCGGCGGUCAACUAUGAAGCCUUCUGUUCGCUGGAGGACCGCAAGGCCGUCGAGUCGAUGCUGAAGCUUCUGGAACCACCGCAACUGCAGACGAUGCUGCAGGCGGUGCAGACCAAGGGACGCGAGGGCUGCGAGUGUCUGUUGUUGCCGCACGACGACGUCAAGUUGCCGCGCGAGGUGGUGGCGCCGCACGUGCUCUGCUGCCGACUCUGGCGCUGGCCCCAGCUCCGGCACCAGUACGAACUGAAGCGCUUGCCCUGGUGCGCGGCCGCCUCUCCGCCCGAGGUCUGCUGCAACCCGUACCACUGGAGCAUGGUGCAGAAGCCAGAGUCUCCACCGCCUCCGUACAGUCUGCAGAUCCAGGAGGAGAGCUACCCGCCAGUCGAGUCGUCGCCGCCGCCUCCAUACAGCCUACGGCCGAUGGGCAACGCCUACUCGUCUUUCGGCUACUCGGCAACAUUGGACUCCGGUACAGCGGUAGAGUCCAGUGGCGAGGACGAGCCGUGGUGCCGCAUCGCUUACUGGGAACUGAGCGAGCGCGUGGGAGACCUGUACUCGGUGCGGCGUCCGUGUCUGCACAUCACCUUCGAUGAGCGCCCCGCCUCCUCAACGUCAUCGAACGAAGAGGCGCUCCGGCUGCACUCUCUGGCAGCGCGCUCUUCUUCCUCCGGGCCAAACAAGGAGGCAGUGGCCCGAACACGAGCCAAGAUCGGCCAGGGGCUGUCCCUGUCGUACGAUCGCGAGGGCGUCUGGGUCUACAACCGUUCCGAGCACGCCGUGUUCGUGGCGUCUCCGACGCUCGACGUGCCCCAGGUUCGCAACCUCACAGUAUUCAAGGUGCUGCCCGGCUACUCGAAGUUGGUCUUCAACUGGCAACAGGCACGCACCUACAGCAGCUACCAGUCAGUGCCGUGGGACGGCCCGCAUGCAUCCAACGUGGCGCGCAUCUCCUUCGUCAAGGGCUGGGGUCCCAAGUACGCGCGCCAGAUCGUCACCGCACUGCCCUGCUCCCUUGAACUCUUUUUCCGCACCACGCCACCACCACCCAGGUGAUGAGGGGACUUGAAAGAAACAGAACUCAAUUUUCUUUAGUCAGCGCCAGCCAGCUGGAUGUGAGAGAGCCUCGGAUGUGAGAGAUUCCCGAGUGGACUGUCGCGGGUUGCAGGCCCGCCUGACUUUACCUUUUAAAACAUUCUCACACUGCCCCCCCCCCUCCCCAUGAUUGUGUCGGCCAGACAAGACGUGGCUCCAUCUCUCGUCGCUAUGAAGGCGUCGAGGACGUGUUCGUCGGGGUGGGGAGUGAGGGCCCGCUAGGGAGAGGCUUUUCUUUGGUGGUCCGAAGAAGGAGCAGGCAGGUAGACAAGAAAGCUUUCUGGUUAUGUGUGUGUGAGAUGUUCCUUGGGUGGGCAAGAGUAGCACUGCUCUUUUCAAUUCACUGCUACUCACUGGCCAUUCAGCUGUAAAUGACUGCCUUGAAGACGAGGCCCUGCCAUUGCACCAACACGCAAAGAACAAGUGUUCCAACAGGUUUUUGGCAGGUCGUGUUAUCCUUCUUCGCAGCUGUUGUGGUUGUGUUUGGCACUUGAACUUGCCCAUGUGCCCGAGAUCGAUGUUCCCCCUUAAGUGCGCUUGUUAUAAAAACCUCUUGUUGUUGGCAGAUAGCAUAAUUAUUUUUGCUAUCAUUAGUUGUGCAGGAAGGAGUCGUUAAAGCAUACAAAGCACACUGGUCCCAUUCCUCUACCUAAAAAUGAAUCUUUAUUUACAGUAAGCAACACUUUUGUCAGUGGGGGCACGCUUCGUAGUCAUUGUCAUCUAACAACCAUUACCAAAACAUAAAUGUACAGUUUCAUUAGUGUUAAGCAUCGAAGCCUUGUUUCUGGGAGUUUAAAACGGGAAUAUUACACAGGGCACGCCCUAAUUUUGCUUAAAUGCUGUCUUAUUAAAUGUCUUUGAGUGCCGUAAAGAUGAAUUUUUAUCCACUUUUAAGUGCUGCUAGGUUCAUAAUGAGCUGCUCUGUAGUAUAGUCCGUCACUGCGUGUGUUAAAAUCUUUUAAUUUGCUAUUGUAUAUUCAAAUCCAUGCCAACUUGUUUGGGCAGAAAGUAAAAUCUAAAGUGCUGUGCAUUUCAAAAUAGAUUGUUGUAACCUUUGGCCUCCCUAAAAAUUGUGCGUUCUUUUGUUCCAAGUACACAUUGUUUGCCAGAUUAGCUAGGAGUGGAAAUUACAUAGCAUAUACACCUACAGAUAUAUCUUCAAGAAAACAAAUGAAAUGUUAUAUUAAAAUUGUGGCUACAUUCACUGAUUUUCCAACAAGCCUAUUUUCACAUCUCAAAAAGCUACUACAGUUAGCUUGUGUGCCUGCCUCAGUUUGAUAGCAAGAGCACAGAUUGUUUGUGCUCUUAUUUUGUGUGUACAUUCUGAAUAACUGGCUGAAAUUGUCCGUGCAAUCAUAUAGUUCUUCAAACAGGAAGUUAAAAUAACGCGCAUGACUUCAAUGUGAGCAUUCAUUACAAGACACUGAAGUGGUUUUAAUGGUGGUGUAAAACCCAUCUAAGCAUUUCCGAAUUUCUAAAUCUGAUAAGUUUUCAUUACAGCUACUGUAAGCCACAUUUGUCAUGGUGAGCAUUGGAGCCUCCCGAGCGUGUCAUUUGGCUGUUCUUCCAUCAAGCGAUGACCUUUCACGUUGCUUGUGUGGAGAUAUCAAUCACUGGCAUGAUGGAACACUUCGGACCUUGUCAGGGCAAGGUUUAUUGAAACUGCCAUCAAUCUUUACAAUAUUGCAAAACUUGGCGGCAUUCUACAACAAAAGGCUUUGGCCGUACGCUGUCAAGUUACGUGCUUGAACAUCAUUAAAGGGCCCCUCACCAGGUUUGACAAUUUUGAGCUAACGAGCGCAAUGCAUACACUGGGCGUUCACGAUCACGUCUGCCAAAAUUUGCAACGCUACGCGCCGCGGAAAUGGGUCAAAUUUCAAGGUGAACGCUGCUUGCCCUUCCUCUCGCGGGCGCGCGCUUUAGAGGAUGAGGGGAUGACGUUCAUGAGAAAAUGGCCUUACGUAGAUGGCAGUGCUGUGACGUCGCUCCUCUACGUAGACGACUGUGCUCUGACGUCGCCAACAGUAGCACGUGACGCUGCGAUAAUUAUUUGACACGACAUGUGUAGUUUGUGUAAUUUGUUGCUUGAAUAGAUUAUUAAAACGUGAGAGAAAUAAUGAGACACACAAAAGGAAUGUGUGCGUAUUCUUGAUUUUUUUUUCGUGAAUUGCAGCGAGAUGUGGGGCUAAUGUGCCUCCCUUUCCCAUGCGUUCGUGUCCUCGCGGUUAGCGCAUCGAGCAGACGCCAGCCCUGGAAACGAAAGUAAUGUUCUGGCGCGUCCGAGCACUCAUUAUGCUCGUUUAUUCUACCGCGUCCAAGUAAAUGUUAAUGCCGCACUGGCUCAUGAUACCGCCACUCUAGUGCAUCGACUUUCAUGCCCGUCCCGCAGAAACAGGCAGUACACCACAGAGAACGCCGACAAAACGCCCAUGGCCGCUACAUAAAAAAAGGUAGCGGCCGUGCAACGCCGCUCGCGUGGGCUGGCUCGGGCACGUCAUGCGCACGUGACCAUGCAUGCGCAUGACGUGUUCUUGAGUAUGUGUCAAGUGAAGAGGGCAGGGAAGGGAUUUGGCUUGCGAAGGCUACACGGAGCGAGUGGCAAGGGUUUGAAACUCGCCUCCUCGCAUCAUGGUUUCGGGCCGCUACAAAUUAUUGUUUUUCUCAGCUCGUAAUGAACCGAUUGGAAAAAUUCUUGCGGCAUACGGCUCUUCAUUCGGCGCACAACAACUUCCAGCGUCUAACUAAAAUUUGCUAUAUGGCCUGGUGAGGGGCCCUUUAAGGACCACCUCAGUUUCUUUGAGAAAAGCACUGGAAAAAUAUUGUUGGUGGCUUAGCAUGUUCUCGGUGUAAAGUUUGAAACAUGAUUAAGGCGAAAGGAAAGAGACAGGAGAGCACCAACUGUUUAAUAUUAAACUGUGAAAGGUUGUUGGCUGAUAUACAAAAUGUGCCAGACCUGUGCUGUAAGCUUACACCAGUGUCCCCCCUCUCCCCCUUUGUUAGCUGAUGUGGUCAAGGUGCUUGCAAUGAUGAAUACAACUCUCAGGGGGUGUAGUUAUAAUAACCGGUGUCGAAGAUUGUGCAACGAGUGUUGGCUGAAGAAUCUUGUGAGGCAGGCAGAAAGGGUGCACCCAGUUGCCCCAUCAUGCAUGGCCUAUGUGUAUGCUGCUGGUUAAUACGCCGUGGUGGAGAUCCUAUUGUAAGGUGUUUUACUUUGCUGACUGAAGGCAUCUAUGCCACUCGUAGUAAACAUCGCUGUUGUCUGUUUCUUAAGAGAGGACGGCCCACCUGCUGCUUCCCUGAGUUGAACCCUUUGUUGUCGUUGUGGAGUGCGAAAGGUACUAAUUUGCCUCAAGCAGCUUCUUUCUUCAUGCAAGUCAGCUUAUUUAUUAUCGUGGUUUCCGUUGAGUAGGGAAGAAAGAACUGCCUGCUAUGCCUUUAUAUAUAUAUAAAAUAUAUGUGCUUGUGAUGUGUGUCCCCAACACAGCCUCUCCUUUUCCCAUUUUAUGCCUGCUCUCAUUUCUUUAAAAGCCUCUCCUGAAAGGAAAAGAACAGAGUACAAAUCGCUUGUUGCAUUCUCUCUCGGGUGUGUCUGUAUCUGCUUCGCUGCAACUCAAGUUUUUUUGCAAGCAGCUGCGUGUUGAGCACUGUGGACACUGACUGUGUAGUGUGUUAAAUUUGUUGAAAGCCCUCGCUGUUUACUGUAGCAAGUUAUUUUUUCAUUAUUAUUAUUAUGGUAAGCAUGAAGAAUGGAGUUACUUAAAUCAGAUGUGUGUUGCUUGAUUCAUCUUCAUCCUUCAAUCUCUCAAACUCGCCACUUGCACUCAUUCUUUUCUCAAACUGGUGCCCAGCAUGAGAGAUCUAAAAUUGUUAAGGAACAGAUAUUCACUUUCUGAAGCUUCACGUCACUUCUGUAUUUCUUUUUUAUUUAUUUUUUUUUCAUGUGUUCACAAUAACUAAUUCCUCGUGGCACAGUACAGCUUUUAUGUCCAGUAUGCGCACUUGGAUGUCCCAGUGUUUGUUGCCUUGUGCACUGCUCUCUACACAUUCUGCAGUCACACCUUGCGUUUCGGUGAAGGCUCUUUUUUCAUCUCAUAGGUGCAUUUGAAGAAGCUUUGAUUGCAUCUACGGUUCCUUUGAAGGGUCAAGAUGGGUAUUCAACUUUUCCUUUGUCAUUCUUACCACUGUUCACUUGUCGUUGAUGUUCCUCUGAGCUUUGGCCAACAGCUUGGCUUACCUCUUUAGCGCUACUUUGUGAGAGUGGCCUAAUACGUCUUGGACACUUUUUUUCUUUUUCAAAACUAGAUCGCUAGCUCCUCUCUGUGUUGCCACGCAAGACAUUGCUUGCUUUGAACCUCCGCUGGAUGACCUAAGGAAAGGUGAAUCUGUUGGCUUAGGCCAGUCUGGGGAUAACUUGCUUCGGAGCCUGUGCGAAUAUUCUCGAGUGGCCCAGACGGAUGGUGCUGUCAGCAUCUUUUGAGACUGUGCAAGAACGGGCGUUCGCGGAAUGCAUCCAACUUACGUGCAUUCCUCGUGGUGUUUCACAGUAAUCGCUAUACUCCCUCACCUCUCACCACCUUUUCCUUCUAAAGUGUCUCGACCAAGCCCACCUGACAUUUUUUGUGUAGGGAUGUGAUGUGCCUUUUUGUCAUUUCUUCUAGCAUCUUAUGGGAGCUUGCUUCCUUUUCUCCAUUGACAGCUUGAGGGCAUGAUCGCAUAUAGCUAGAUAGUCGUCCUCUAGAGCCAUGUAUUCUGGGUUGCCAGCCAGGUACACAGUCUUCUUUGCACACAUGCAGCUCAUGUCUUCCACAUGGGGCAAUGCCCCCCCUUCCUGGCAGGUGAAGGCCUUGUUCAUUGUCCUCUUGCCUUUCUCCCACCUGCGCUGCCACGUGGCCUCUGUGUGUAAGCUUUUCCAUUUGUAUCAGCUUUCUACAAAGGCAUUGCUGCAAGCUGGGACAUUGAGCUUUUACGAACAUUCUACUCACUGGGUUCUCGCCACAUCACGGGGGUGUGUGUGUCUUUUUCGAGUUUGUAGCAUUCUCGUCGACUCGGGGAUGUCUUAAUUUGUGUACCCACCGAACGCAAUGUUAGGAAAGCUUUCCACUUGUAAAUGGAAUUGUGUGGUCACUUGGCCACAUUUCUUGACCGUGGAGCACCACACCACACUCUUGUGAAGGAGAGAAUAGUGGUUGGUGUUCCCUGUGCACCUUCGCUCUAUUUCUUUCCUUUUUGGUAGCCUGGUAGGACUCGUGAGUAAUACAGGGUUGGGCUGGACAGCCAUCUUAGGACACCUUGUCAUGUUGCACUCACGUUUUUUUUUCUCCUCCACCAUCUUGUCUCGUCUGUUGUCCACCCUUUCGUCUCAUCGUCUUUGCUGAUGAAAGAACACAUAAAAAGUGCCAAAAGCUGUAGUAGUAACUUUGUUGUUUGUGUCUCUGUUAGGGCUCAGGUUUGGGGGGUGUGAAAAAAAAAAAGGAGGAAUAACUGAAAAAUGUUGCUAUCACAUCUGUCGCCACAGCCAUGGCUUGGUUAGCAGGCCAAGGCCUUAGUGCCUCGCUGCAUCUCACUUUUGUGUGUUGUGUGCUAAGCAAAGCAAAAAAAAAAAAAAACUUGUGAACGUUUUCAGAGAAAGUGCGUUCUUGUCGGGCGUGCACACGCUAAUCACUCCGAAAAGAGAACUAUUCCAUCCACACUUUGGUAACAGAAGAUUAUAUAAAUAUAUAUACAUAUAUAUAUAUAUAAAGAUAUAUGACUAAUGUAUGAACAUGCUGUUAAGCAGCUAUAGAAGCUAGGCGAAGCCUGCAGAAAGUAAGUGCCUGGUCGGUUAGGGAAAAAAAAUUGCGUGUGUAUAGAUACAUUUUUCUAGUUGGGUAGUCUUCUAUCCCCACAGAAGAUACUAAUGGCUUCGUGCUGCCCUUUCGUACACUUUUUUUUUUUUUUCUUCAGGCGCAUGUGACGAUGCCUGUGGCCCUGAGAAGCAUGUGAAAAAAAUAUUUCUACGCAUGGUAUGGAAGUGACAAUCCAAUACCAUUCUGCCUGCCUCAAUGCCUUAUGAAUACUGUGAAAUAGAAGCGAAUGUGCGAAAAUGAAGCUGUGUGUGUAUGUGUGUGUGCGUGCAUGUGUGUUUUAAUAAGUUUGCUCAAGCGUCCUAGACUGUUGCUGUGUAUAAGUUUCUUGUUUCAUCGUUUUUCUGGAGUGUGAAGGCACAAUGAGAAUGACUUAAUGAAAGCUUUUCUUUUUUUUUUUUUCUCAUGCAUUUUUGUACAUAUGUAAAGUGUAAAUACUGCUGUUUUUUUUUUCUAGUAGGUUUUUUUUCCCCUUGUGACCGGUUCCGCUGUCAAAUGCGUGGCUUUGUACAAAUUCUGUUGGAAGUGUACAAAAUGAAAAAGAUACUUUCUACUGUAAUAAAGGUACAGGUAUCCUAA
Rhipicephalus sanguineus (brown dog tick) is the source of this 8094-nucleotide RNA transcript. It is a transcript of the gene named mothers against decapentaplegic homolog 6, with no coding region annotated. NCBI's taxonomy places the organism in Eukaryota, Metazoa, Arthropoda, Arachnida, Ixodida, Ixodidae. The transcript is spliced from 5 exons. The record is from RefSeq and is a predicted model, not a curated record.